This is a long non-coding RNA of Neofelis nebulosa (Clouded leopard), 905 nucleotides long. RefSeq lists it as uncharacterized. The record is from RefSeq and is a predicted model, not a curated record. The transcript has 4 exons. Lineage: Eukaryota; Metazoa; Chordata; Mammalia; Carnivora; Felidae.
CUUGAGGGACAGACACGGAUGUACAAAGACAAAAAUAUGAACAAAUAUUUGAGUAAUUUAUUUGGACCUGGAAGUAUGGCGGUUUCCACUCCUAGACCUAAGAGAAUGGACAGUCUGGCUGUCAAUCACUGCAGGCCCUCCAAGCUGACGUCUGAAGGCGGGGCCAUUGAAGGAUGGCAAGCACCCGGCAAUGAAGCCCUACCACGUGAGCAGGCCGAUGACGGUUUGGAUUGUGCAAUGAGGCUUCCGUAGACCGCUCCCCUCAGUGAUGACAAAAUAUGGCGGGUACUGUGGAUAUAUGGCGGGUACUGUGGAUAUAUGGCGGUUGACAAUGCUCCGAUCUCACAAGUGCUGCAUGAUUGGGUCCUCUGGCCCCACCAACCACUUUGAGAAAUUGCUCUGGAUGAGGGAAAGAGGAAGUUUGCCCCAUCCACUCGUGUUGUGAGUUUCCAAGUGGCCUAAUUUUCCUGCAGUGGUCCCAAGCUGACCUUCCACAGGUAAGUCUCUUUGUAGAUUUGUACAAUCAUCACCUCCCUCAGGAUCUGUGAUGGGAACGUCCAGUUCUGGUCAGCCGGUGGGCCCGUAAUGAGAGGAGAGGACCCUGAACCAAUCGUCAAGGCCAGCCAUACAGAUGUCGCCGAGACCGUGUCACCCAUCGUGUUUCGUUCACAAUAAGUUUCCAGUAUGUGAGUCUGAAAGACCCUCGGCCCUUUCUUCCUGUCAUCUCUGAGCCUCAGCUUCCACAUCUGCAAAAUGGAAAUGACACCUUGCUCUUGCUCUCAGGCGUGGUGUGAAAAUCAAGCGUGAUCAUCUUUAUGAAGUGCUCAGCACACAGGAGGGCCAGCAACUAUUCUCAGAGGGUCUUGGGCAUCUCUUUGGAAAUGGACCUCUUUAACUCUGCUGUG